GACGAACGCUGGCGGCGUGCUUAACACAUGCAAGUCGAGCGGUAAGGCUCCUUCGGGAGUACACGAGCGGCGAACGGGUGAGUAACACGUGAGUAAUCUGCCCUUCACUUCGGGAUAACCACCGGAAACGGUGGCUAAUACCGAAUACGACCAGUCUUCGCAUGAGGUGCUGGUGGAAAGUCUUUUCGGUGAAGGAUGUGCUCGCGGCCUAUCAGCUUGUUGGUGGGGGAAUGGCCUACCAAGGCUUCGACGGGUAGCCGGCCUGAGAGGGUGACCGGCCACACUGGGACUGAGACACGGCCCAGACUCCUACGGGAGGCAGCAGUGGGGAAUAUUGGACAAUGGGCGAAAGCCUGCUCCAGCAACGCCGCGUGAGGGAUGACGGCCUUCGGGUUGUAAACCUCUUUCAGUACCGACGAAGCGCCCUGUCGGGUGGUGACGGUAGGUACAGAAGAAGGACCGGCCAACUACGUG
Molecule: ribosomal RNA, 474 nt
Filed under: uncultured bacterium
Lineage: Bacteria
Description: partial 16S ribosomal RNA
Rfam family: Bacterial small subunit ribosomal RNA
Source: RNAcentral